GACGAACCGUGCGAACGUUAUUCGGAAUCACUGGGCUUAAAGCGCGUGUAGGCGGAUGGGAACGUCGGUCUCUGAAAGCCCCCGGCUCAACCGGGGAAGUGGAACCGAAACGACCUGUCUGGAGGGACGUAGGGGGACCUGGAACUUCCGGUGGAGCGGUGAAAUGCGUUGAGAUCGGAAGGAACGCCCGUGGCGAAAGCGAGGUCCUGGACGUCUGCUGACGCUGAGACGCGAAAGCUAGGGGAGCAAACAGG
This 254-nucleotide ribosomal RNA is filed under the name uncultured bacterium. Its description in RNAcentral is "partial 16S ribosomal RNA". It matches the Rfam family "Bacterial small subunit ribosomal RNA", at positions 524 to 776 of the family's 1533-position model. The record is from RNAcentral.